CUGUGAGCUCGAUGAGUAGGGCGGGACACGUGGUAUCCUGUCUGAAUAUGGGGGGACCAUCCUCCAAGGCUAAAUACUCCUGACUGACCGAUAGUGAACCAGUACCGUGAGGGAAAGGCGAAAAGAACCCCGGCGAGGGGAGUGAAAAAGAACCUGAAACCGUGUACGUACAAGCAGUGGGAGCACGCUUAGGCGUGUGACUGCGUACCUUUUGUAUAAUGGGUCAGCGACUUAUAUUCUGUAGCAAGGUUAACCGAAUAGGGGAGCCGAAGGGAAACCGAGUCUUAACUGGGCGUUAAGUUGCAGGGUAUAGACCCGAAACCCGGUGAUCUAGCCAUGGGCAGGUUGAAGGUUGGGUAACACUAACUGGAGGACCGAACCGACUAAUGUUGAAAAAUUAGCGGAUGACUUGUGGCUGGGGGUGAAAGGCCAAUCAAACCGGGAGAUAGCUGGUUCUCCCCGAAAGCUAUUUAGGUAGCGCCUCGUGAAUUCAUCUCCGGGGGUAGAGCACUGUUUCGGCAAGGGGGUCAUCCCGACUUACCAACCCGAUGCAAACUGCGAAUACCGGAGAAUGUUAUCACGGGAGACACACGGCGGGUGCUAACGUCCGUCGUGAAGAGGGAAACAACCCAGACCGCCAGCUAAGGUCCCAAAGUCAUGGUUAAGUGGGAAACGAUGUGGGAAGGCCCAGACAGCCAGGAUGUUGGCUUAGAAGCAGCCAUCAUUUAAAGAAAGCGUAAUAGCUCACUGGUCGAGUCGGCCUGCGCGGAAGAUGUAACGGGGCUAAACCAUGCACCGAAGCUGCGGCAGCGACGCUUAUGCGUUGUUGGGUAGGGGAGCGUUCUGUAAGCCUGCGAAGGUGUGCUGUGAGGCAUGCUGGAGGUAUCAGAAGUGCGAAUGCUGACAUAAGUAACGAUAAAGCGGGUGAAAAGCCCGCUCGCCGGAAGACCAAGGGUUCCUGUCCAACGUUAAUCGGGGCAGGGUGAGUCGACCCCUAAGGCGAGGCCGAAAGGCGUAGUCGAUGGGAAACAGGUUAAUAUUCCUGUACUUGGUGUUACUGCGAAGGGGGGACGGAGAAGGCUAUGUUGGCCGGGCGACGGUUGUCCCGGUUUAAGCGUGUAGGCUGGUUUUCCAGGCAAAUCCGGAAAAUCAAGGCUGAGGCGUGAUGACGAGGCACUACGGUGCUGAAGCAACAAAUGCCCUGCUUCCAGGAAAAGCCUCUAAGCAUCAGGUAACAUCAAAUCGUACCCCAAACCGACACAGGUGGUCAGGUAGAGAAUACCAAGGCGCUUGAGAGAACUCGGGUGAAGGAACUAGGCAAAAUGGUGCCGUAACUUCGGGAGAAGGCACGCUGAUAUGUAGGUGAAGCGACUUGCUCGUGGAGCUGAAAUCAGUCGAAGAUACCAGCUGGCUGCAACUGUUUAUUAAAAACACAGCACUGUGCAAACACGAAAGUGGACGUAUACGGUGUGACGCCUGCCCGGUGCCGGAAGGUUAAUUGAUGGGGUCAGCGCAAGCGAAGCUCUUGAUCGAAGCCCCGGUAAACGGCGGCCGUAACUAUAACGGUCCUAAGGUAGCGAAAUUCCUUGUCGGGUAAGUUCCGACCUGCACGAAUGGCGUAAUGAUGGCCAGGCUGUCUCCACCCGAGACUCAGUGAAAUUGAACUCGCUGUGAAGAUGCAGUGUACCCGCGGCAAGACGGAAAGACCCCGUGAACCUUUACUAUAGCUUGACACUGAACAUUGAGCCUUGAUGUGUAGGAUAGGUGGGAGGCUUUGAAGUGUGGACGCCAGUCUGCAUGGAGCCGACCUUGAAAUACCACCCUUUAAUGUUUGAUGUUCUAACGUUGACCCGUGAUCCGGGUUGCGGACAGUGUCUGGUGGGUAGUUUGACUGGGGCGGUCUCCUCCUAAAGAGUAACGGAGGAGCACGAAGGUUGGCUAAUCCUGGUCGGACAUCAGGAGGUUAGUGCAAUGGCAUAAGCCAGCUUGACUGCGAGCGUGACGGCGCGAGCAGGUGCGAAAGCAGGUCAUAGUGAUCCGGUGGUUCUGAAUGGAAGGGCCAUCGCUCAACGGAUAAAAGGUACUCCGGGGAUAACAGGCUGAUACCGCCCAAGAGUUCAUAUCGACGGCGGUGUUUGGCACCUCGAUGUCGGCUCAUCACAUCCUGGGGCUGAAGUAGGUCCCAAGGGUAUGGCUGUUCGCCAUUUAAAGUGGUACGCGAGCUGGGUUUAGAACGUCGUGAGACAGUUCGGUCCCUAUCUGCCGUGGGCGCUGGAGAACUGAGGGGGGCUGCUCCUAGUACGAGAGGACCGGAGUGGACGCAUCACUGGUGUUCGGGUUGUCAUGCCAAUGGCACUGCCCGGUAGCUAAAUGCGGAAGAGAUAAGUGCUGAAAGCAUCUAAGCACGAAACUUGCCCCGAGAUGAGUUCUCCCUGACUCCUUGAGAGUCCUGAAGGAACGUUGAAGACGACGACGUUGAUAGGCCGGGUGUGUAAGCGCAGCGAUGCGUUGAGCUAACCGGUACUAAUGAACCGUGAG
Molecule: ribosomal RNA, 2538 nt
Filed under: Escherichia coli
Lineage: Bacteria; Pseudomonadati; Pseudomonadota; Gammaproteobacteria; Enterobacterales; Enterobacteriaceae
Description: partial 23S ribosomal RNA
Rfam family: Bacterial large subunit ribosomal RNA
Source: RNAcentral